Molecule: unclassified non-coding RNA, 10305 nt
Filed under: Mizuhopecten yessoensis (Yesso scallop)
Lineage: Eukaryota; Metazoa; Mollusca; Bivalvia; Pectinida; Pectinidae
Description: pleckstrin homology domain-containing family M member 2-like, transcript variant X1
Source: RNAcentral
UCAGAAGGCGGAAGUGUCUGUUCUCAGCUGACAGGAAAGUCAUCUUUUGGCAAAAACAAUGUGAAAAACUGUUUUUAAUCGUGAUGGCUUCUGCACCGGAACGUCUCCGGUUAAAGGACAGAAUCGUAGCAAGUGUUGCCACGUCAGUCAAGUCGAUCCAGGAAUACCAGGUUGCAUGUGGCUGUGGAGAUGACCCAGUCACUCUCACCAAUACUGACCGCCCCUGUCAGCGACUUACAGAGAAUUUUGACCAUGUCUUCCUUCAUGGUCUGAGACACAUAAACUAUGGCUACUGGAAAGUUGUGAAGGAGUUCACCAGGAAGGAUGCUGUCAAGGAGAUCUGUCGUCUACGCAACAUCACAACAGACCUGGGGCGAGGGAGGGCAUGGUUGAUGAUGACCUUGAAUGAAUGUGUCCUUGAAAGUUACAUCCGUUGUUACCUUGACAACAAGAAGCUUGUGAAGAAACAUUAUGUGCGCGAAGCAUUUGUCCUUGAUGAACAGAGGAUGAACGUUCUACUGACCCUGACAUCAGGACUGGAGUACGCCAUUUUCCAUCUAGACUAUGAUGUGCCCUACCUUGAUCUUGGCACCUACCCACCAGGCAGUCGGUCAAGGACGAGUUCAGCUAACUCUGCUCUUCAGGACGAUGACCAUGCCUCAUUAUGCAGUAUGGACAGUAUCACCUCGACCAGGGGCCGUAAUAUGUCGUUCACUGCUGCUGUGGAAUAUACCGGUAAAAGUUGUAACGCUAUUGACACACAAAGUCAGAACAGUGAAGAUACAGGUCAGUCUAAAGGCGGGUCUGUGGACUCUGGGAUAUUGGUGAGUGAUCGCGAUAAUCAUGUGGACUACAAAAGGUCAAGUUUUCCAAGAGGUCACGAUCGCGAACUUUCAUUGGAGGAACAGGAAGAGGAGUUUAAAGUCAUUCGUGUGUCAUCAAGUAGAAAAAAGAAAAAGUCAGUGAAAAAAGGUCACGCUAAAGUUCACCGAGAGGAAGUACUUCAGGAGGAUGUGUCUGUUCUAGCGUGUCCCGACACUAUCCAACACCAGAACUCGUGCUUGUCACAGGAACCAAGCUUGUCAGAUAUUUUAGAUUUUGACGAUAGAGAUUAUAGUGAACUCCCCGAUCGUUCCCCAGGGGACGGUAUGGAGAGCAGUCAGGAAUCCUUAAAUGCCAACCUCCUACAUCGAGGUAAUGACAAAACUAAGGUCAUGGAAAACUAUAACAUUGCAUUUGUAGACAUGAGUAAAGAGGAUUUGGACUAUAAUAUAUACAAACACACGCCUAUACAGAACUCACAGUCCGACUACUUUAAUGUGUAUAAAGAUUCUCAAAACACACAUAGUGAAUCCAUCGAACACGAGGCAUUAGAUUUAGCUGCAACUUCGAAAUCCGGUGAAAGUAUAAGUGCAGUUGUUUCCUCUGUUAACGAUUUGCCUGUGAAAAACGAUAUUGGUGAGGAGAAAGGUAAAACUGUAGCCAGUAAAAGCGAACUGGGGGUUAUUGAUGAAAAAUGUUCACAACCACUGGAAGGAACCUCACAAGCCUGUGAUAAUACAGAUGGAACUGAAGAUGUUAGUGUUAAUGUUGAUAACACCAGUGAUGUAGAUUUGAAUGAACACAUCGACAAAACCCCAGAAAUACUGACUUGUGGUAAUGUAACUACAUCUUCUCCUGACAAAACAGACAUUGUAGGGAAAAGUGCAAUAAAUUCAUCAUCAUCCAAUCAGAAAUCAGCAACAUCAGAGAUGCAGGAUCGUGUGAACGACAUGAUUAACCAGACGAAUACUCACCUCGGCCGUCACAUGUUUGAGGAGGAGCCGGAAGACACUGACAUUGAGAAUGGGAAUGUGCUGGAGGAGGAGGAGAAGACUGUGGCCGGGGAAGUCAGAUUGAACAACAACACAAAGCUAUACCUGAUGUUGGACGUGUUUGAUGAUACAGACGAAGAGUUUAUCAAGGCGUUUGCUUCACGGACUGGUCACACGGAGGGAGAGGCCAAGACUGUAUUUCUGUUGGUAACUAACCGAGCCCUUCACCUGCUGUCUCAGGCUCAGAGUGACCAUCGCUUCGUCAAGGACUCAUCCAUUCCGUAUCAACAACUUGACUACAUAUCUCUUAGCCUGUCAGACCAGGUGAUCCAGAUUGUGUGUCUGAACCGAAGAAAACAGUUCUGGAUCACGACCGGGAGCCAACUUGUUACCAGGUCGAUUGUGGGGUGCCUCAGCCAGGCCAUUGACAAGGGUGGUUUUGACAUACCAAAGAUCUCUGUGUUGACCGAUGCCACAACUCAAAAGAUAGCCCUGAGGAAGUAUGCCGCCCAGGAAUGCAAGUGUGAGACAUCUGCUGUUGAAAUUUGCUGUUACUCACUGGUCCACUGGGAUGACCCGACAGCUAAGGGGGAUAACUCUGACAGUACUUACAAAGAGGGUCACCUUCUGUAUAAGAUGAACGAGGUAGGGGCAUCACUAGGCAGCACACUCCUUAGUACCGUCCAGGAUCCCGCUGCCCUCAUCUAUGGAACAUCAUGGAAACCAGCCUACGUAGUCCUCAAAGAUGGUAUGCUGUGUGUGUAUAGCAGUAAGGCGGUCAGUAAGCCUCUUCAUUUUGUCCAGCUCGGAGGAGAUGACUGUAUAGGGUGUCGCCACGCCUCGAACACUGACCGUGAUCACUGUAUCCAAGUCAUCAUGGCUUCUGGCACAACAUGGCACAUUGCCUUAGCAACAGACGUUGAGGCUAAUCAGUGGCUACAAAGUCUGUGUCGCGCUGUAGCUCAAGGGCUUGAGAAGACUCCACUGACAGUGAAUUGUCUCCCGUGCUGCCUUGUACUUACUCCGCAGAAAUUAUUGAUGUGUCACGAGGAUGUCCAGACUAGUUUCUUCAGGACGCUAGGGAGUGCUAACUUACUGGACAUCACCAACGUACUGACCGACCCAGCGGUCAGCAACUACUGUGUCUUGGAGUUUGAGUCACAUGAUCAAGGUGUUAGUGCUGACCAAUGGGUGCUGUAUUUUAAUGAUGGCUCAGAAACUCAACGCUUCAUGCAGGCUCUGUCUUCAGCAUGGUCAAUUCACUACAAGGUUGGGGUGCCGGACAUGACCAUCACAGAUGUAUCACUUCAGAAAAAUUGUCGGGACAUGGUCACCAGACUAGGUUCAUCUCUAGAGGUCAGACAGUGACCUUGACCUCGAAAGGUUAAACAGUGACAUUGGCCUUCAUAUGUUUUCUGGAAGGAUAGAACAGCAGAAGGAUUGUUGAGUUAUCUGCCUAACAGUUGUGUUCUAGAUAAAUAACCUUAUUUAAAAGUUUAACCUAUAAUCUACCGCUCAUAUAAUGUAUCUGCAUAAUUUGUAAGUGUUCAGGUUUAACUCAUUCACCCCUGAAGACACAUUUGAACUCUUCUUAUUUAAAGGUUGGAAUAGUUCAUUAUGAAACUUCAGGGGUAAAUGAGUAAAGGUUAAACCAAUUUUUUUAUUUUAUUUUUUUGAGAUUUGACUUAGUCCUGUAACAAAAUUUGUGCAAUAUAUCUAACUAAUGGUUGUACUUUUUCCCAAGGUUUACACAACAGAGGAUAAAUAUGUGUAUUGUUGGUGCAUAAUUCUACCUAUGACCAGCCAUUGUGGCCUGGCUGAUCAAAGAGGAAUAAACAUGUACUUGAUUUAUACCAAACCCUGUACCCUGAAUAUACAAAAGAGCAUCGUCAUCUGUAAAAUUUGUUUUAUCGAUGAGAUUGGCUGUUACAUGCUGUCAGAUAUAUUAUUCUGCUUUCUCUGUUAUUUUAUUUUUUCCAGUGCCAAAAAGCUUUCUUGUGAUUUAUAUUUGUAGUUUUACUUCGGUUAUGACGUUACGGAUUGGUUUAAAUGACAUUUUAGUGAUCAUGUGUUUUAAAUCUUUUUUAUAAAUAGUUGUGUGAGAGUUUAAAAUUUGUAUAAUCUGCUAGCUUUUUGGAAUUUGAAAUGCUUUUUUUCAUUUCAAAGAGGAAGUUAGUUAAAAUAUGGCGUGGUUAAGUAUUGUCCCUCCAUUUGUCAUCUUUUCUCUAUUUACCGGUACAUUUCAUAUCUUCCGUUUAUAGGUGAUCAACACAUAAAAUGCUCUGUCUUUAAAAGCAGGAUAGUGGAAUUCUUUUCUUUAACGAAAUCUGAGCAUGCUUUUGUAGUGACUCUUUGUUAGUAUCUAUAAAAAUCAUGAAUUCAAUUACCAAUAGUGCAAUCUAUAUAUAUAAAAUAGUAAUUUUCUACAUAAAAGUAUCCAGAAAGUGAUUUUUUCUGAAUUCUGUAUUCAAAAUGUCUUCACGAAUACCAAGUUGAAUGUUCAUAUAUGUAUUAUAAUGUUGAUCUAUACAUAUGCAGAAAAACAUAGCUGGUUCAAGGUUGAUAAAUAGUGGGCUAUAUUUGACGGCAACCUGCAUGUAAUGAUAACACUGAUGUUUUUAGAUUUGUAGGUAAAUGGAACUCAGGGGUGUACAAUUAAGUAGACCAAAGCUUAGAUCUAGUAGAUUUUAUGUCAGGCCCAGUUGAAAUUUUCAAAAUUUACAUUUAUGAAUCCACAGGUUUGGCUUGUAUAUACAUGUACCAGAAAAAGUAGUCAAAAAAGUGAUACUUUUCUGUGGCAUUUACGGUAAAAACAUUCAAUACAUUUAUAAGUGGAUAUUUGACAGUCGGGUAUAUCGAAGAAUCUCGCUCCAUAAUUUCUCUGCAAACAAAGGUUUGCAGCAUAGCAAUAUUGAUCUUGUUGUCUGUUCAUGAAGAGUUCACAAUGAUAAAUUCAAAAUAUGAUUUUUGUUUUAAAGAAAGUAAUGAAAGUAAUAAGUUUUAAAGCAGUAUCGUAAUUAUCCUUAGUUAAGCCCAGGGAACCAACACGUAACCCCUUCACCAAUGAAUCCCUGUAAACAGUGAUUCAAAAGGCUUCCUCCUGACGGCAAAUCCCUGUAUACAGUGAUUCAAAAGGUUUCCUCCUGCCGGCAAAUCCCUGUAUACAGGGAUUUUUGAGGGGGCUGAAUUCCUGUUAUAAAUAAACCCUAGUUACAUACAAUAUCUUCACAAUACGCUGAUAUAAGUUUGCAUAACUGAUGAUAUCCAUAAAAUAUUAAAAUAAAUUUAGUUAAUAUAAGACAUUUUGAACUUUUACAUUCUAUAUAUUAUAUAUUUUAAAAAGUGAUUUUGUGGGGGAAUAGGUCGGUGAAAAGGUUAAUAUCUGACUCAACAUAGAGGAAUGAGAUUAUUACAGAGAAGUGAUCCAGCCUUUGCUGGCAUUAAUACUGUAAUAGAUAUGGGAGGGAUUAUCACCAGGCGUGGGCUUAUUAUCCGAUAAAUGAUGUAAUGUAUUUCAGAUCAUUGUUCACUUUAUGUGAAAAAAUUAAGUUCAUGUGCCUAUUACUAUGUUGACAGAUUGAAAUAGUUUGAAUAAUUUUAAAUCUGAAAAUUGUUUUUUGUUAACUUUAUUUUCAAAUCGAGGAUUUAGUUUAUUGUGAUAUGAUCUUUGUUGAGAUAAUUUUUUGAUAGCUCCCUUGGACAUGGAUUACUUAAAGCUCUAGCGGAGUUCCUUGUCAUCUGUAACUGUUUUUGAUUAAUGUUUAUGAUAUACGUUAAUUUAUGUCAUGUGGUGAUCCUAAUUUAAUUUUUAGAAGUGUUGAAAACACGACUUAAAGUUGAGAUUUCAAAAUGCUAUGAUGUCUUUGUAUUUUAUUGAAUUGUACUUUUAAUUUCUUGUCUUUUGAAGGCGAAUUUUGUUUCCUAUCAUCUACAGAUGUAUUGACGCAUACAACAAACAGUUUCUGAGGAAGGUUUCCCUCAAAGUAUAAUCAUUGUAUUAUUGAAUCCAUUCCAGUUGUAUAUUUUAGAUUGGUGUACAUAAAAUGCUUUAAAACUUCCAAUAUUUUAUAUGAAGCUAAGACAAACCCCCAUGACUGUUACAGAUAUACCCCGGUAGCCAUUCUCCCUUGCCAUUUCACUUUAAAUAAGCUUUGUAUGAUCUUACAGUUCUGUACAUAUCAAUUGACUCUACGCAUUGAGUCAAGGUAAAACCUGUUAUCCUUUCAUUUGGUAGUAGACCUGUCCUUUACCACACAAAGAAACUGCAUGGCACUUGUAACCUUACAGCCAGUCAGAAUGGGAUUUUGCGGCAUACAGAUAUGCGAUUUGAUUGUUUAUGAUCAUCUGUCUGUUGCAGUGUUAUAUUUCCCCGUUACAUGUUAUUUAGCCAUCAUAAAUACCAAACAACAAGAAAGGCAACAAACAACUAAAACAAUUAGUGGACACUCAUCUUCGACUAAAAUCUUUACUAAAGCUAAAGAGUAGUUUUAUUAGUACACAAGUGACUGAUAGUCCAUCACAUAAACCAAUGUUCAAAUUACUGUGAUAUUACUUCUCUGGUCUCCUAGUAAAUGAACUGAUCUUUAUUACAUAUACCAGGCAAUUGUGAUUACAUGAUGGUCAAUUAUUGUUUUCAUCUGAGGACAAUGGUCUGAUAAAUUGACUGAUAUUUAUGUGUAUCCAUAUUUUACUCCAUUAAGGAUAAAAAUAAAAUAAAAUGCUAAGCUCUGUAUACUACUUGUUACAAAUAAAUGUAUUUUAAAAUUGCAUUUCUAAAAUCACAUACUUUGUACCUACAGUAUAUAUUUAUAUAUAAUGUACUCUUACCAUUCUAAAGGACUAUGUUUUAUCAAUUUCUUAAUUACAUAAAUGACACUGUCAUUUUGAAUCAUUGACAUUUUCAUAAAUGAUAUAAUCAUCAAUUUCUAUAGGGAGUUCAACCACUUUCCUGCUGUAUACAGGCAUUAUUUGUCUUUUAAAUUUAUAUUAUCCUUUAAAAUCAUACAAAGACAAAUAUUGCUUGCAAAUCUUUUUCACAGAGUUUAAACAUUUUAAAAUUGAUUUGAGUAAUAUUGCAGAAACACAGUUACAACCCGAAUAUCAUGACUGGUAGCACAGUGGAUAGGCUCCCUGCUUUGUUAUCAAGACAGAUGUUUUCCUGAUUGUUUUUCUACAUUCUCAAUAUAUUUGUAUAUAACCUUUCAUACAGUAAAUGAGCAAGUAACUCCAAGUCAGAAAAAUGCCAAACAAAAUGGAACUCUUCUUCAUUGAAGAUGCAACACAGAACACUGGGACUCUCUACCUUAAGUUCUUUUUGUUUUCUGCUUCAGUACCUCCAUUAUAUGAGUUAGCCAGAUUCACUUUAUUUUCAAAAGAAGUGAAACCUCUGGCACUAAAUAUUGUUAAUUCAAGUUUAUAUAUAAAUAAGAACUUCAUUUAUUUUACAACAAUUAUGAAACAAGUUUUCCAACUUACAUUAAUCACACGUGUUGACCAGAUGAAAGUACGCAGAAGAUCUUAGUUAAAAAUCCAGUGCACACAUGCCCUAUUUAUUGAUAACAGGAGCUAGGAUAUUUUAAGAAAUAUUUUUGAAUAUAAAUAUUGAUGUAGUAAGAUUGCUGUGUUGGUACACUUAUAAAAUCAAUGUGAUAUCACUGUGUAUUAAUUGUUAUUGCAUGACCACCACCUUAUUGACUGUUACCAUAGAGAUCUUCAGCAUUCAUUUAUUCUGUGUUUCAUGAAUUUAAAAACGUUACUUUGUCACCUUUGUUUCUGAAAUUUCAGUAAUAUUGUGACAUUUUUGGUUUCCCUCUGCAUUUUGUAACUGUGAUUAAGAAGGUUUUGAAUUUGCUAAAGGAAUAUAAUCCUAAACUAACAUGGAAAUAUAUCUGUGAUACAUGUAAUUUACAUGUGACAUAACACAUUCCUUCUAUAGGUGCUGUAGUAUAGGUUUGUAUCCAGUAGAACGUACCAGGCUCAUCUAUCAUACUAAACCUUCCCAGCUCUUGAGAGUGUAAAUCAUACCAAUUUUCUUAGCGUUCUAGCUCUCUCAUUCUUCUCAUAACAUUAUACUGUUAUUUUCUAGCUUGUAUAAAAGGUUUGUUAUUUUACUUUUAUUUAUAUUUGUCACUGUUUAAUUUAGCCAGAUAAGAUAAGAUAAAUGUUAUCUAGAGUCGGUUGGCAUUUAGAAAAAUAUAGAGCUUUUGACCGACAUUAAAUAGAGCUUUUGACCGCCAGUCGACACAAGUUUUCUGCGUCUUAAAAGUACAUUAGUGAUCUACUGCAAGUAUAUAUAUUUGAAAAAUUACAUGCUUUUCAAACAGAGAAGUACAGAUUUGUUGGAUAUUUUGUUCACACUCAAAACAUUUAACAAUAAUUAGGGGGUUGGGGGGUGUUAGCUGGGUAUUCAGCCGCUAACUGAGAUAUUCAGCCCCCAACCCAGGUAUUCAGCCGCUACCUUAGAUAUUCAGCCCCCAACCCAGAUAUUCAGUCACUAGUCUAGAUAUUCAACACCAACCCAGAUAUUUAGCCGCUAGCUUAGAUAUUCAGCCCCCACCCAGAUAUUCAGCCUCUAGCUUAGAUAUUUAACCCCCAACCCAUAUAUUCAGUCACUAGUCAAGAUAUUCAACACCAACCUUGAUAUUCAGCCGCUAGCUGAGAUAUUCAGCUCCAACCGAGAUAUUCAGCCCCCAACCAAGAUAUUCAGCCGCUACCUUAGAUAUUCAGCCCCCAACCCAGAUAUUCAGCCUCUAGCUUAGAUAUUCAACCCCCAACCCAGAUAUUCAGCCUCUAGCUUAGAUAUUCAGCCCCCAACAAAGAUAUUCAGCUGCUAGCUGCCUAUAGCUAAAUAUUCAGCCACCUGAUAGGGUAGGUAUUCAGCCAUAUUCAGCCAUAUUCAGCCACAAGACUUGAUAUUUAGCCCCUAGCCUAGAUAUUCAGCCCCUAGCCCAGAUAUUUAGCCCCUAGCCUAGAUAUUCAGCCCCUAGCCUAGAUAUUCAGCCCCUAGCCUAGAUAUUUAGCCCCUAGCCUAGAUAUUCAGCCCCUAGCCUAGAUAUUUAGCCCCUAGCCUAGAUAUUCAGCCCCUAGCCUAGAUAUUCAGCCCCUAGCCUAGAUAUUUAGCCCCUAGCCUAGAUAUUCAGCCCCUAGCCUAGAUAUUUAGCCCCUAGCCUAGAUAUUCAGCCCCUAGCCUAGAUAUUCAGCCCCUAGCCUAGAUAUUUAGCCCCUAGCCUAGAUAUUCAGCCCCUAGCCUAGAUAUUCAGCCCAUAGCCUAAAUAUUUAGCUAUACAGUAUCUUUCUUGUCAUUGAAGAUUUGUAUUGUAUGUAUGAUGCGAGUCUGCAAGAUUAUCUGUUACUAAAUCCAACAUGUAAUGGUCACAUUUAGUAUUGAACAGAUUACCAUAAACUAGUCAAACCUGCUCAAGAUACCACCUUUAUUUAGAGACCACUGUGUUAAUAUGUUAUAUUUUUACCAUUGUUGUCAUAGUGAAAUCUUUGUUAAAAGUCAUUUUCAAAAGAAAUUUUCGAUAAAAUUGCAUGUUGCCAAGCAUUUUACGGAAUUGUAGUUGCUGGAAGGUGAAAUUUGAAAGUUUGAAUUGUUUGAAAAUAGAAAUUAAAAAAAAAAAUGCAGGUGUCCAAAUCGGAACCAUUACAUUAGAAAGCUUACUCUUUAAAAAAGUUGCCAUACAGGAAUCAUUAAAACGACUCUAACAUGCAUUGAUCUGGACAAGUCGAUUGUGGUCUACAGAGGUGAAAAAGUGUCCGAUUCAUGGGCCCCAAAGAAUAUGAAAAAGUAUACAUCAGAAAAAAAUCUUUUAUGUUUGCUCUGUCUUUUAUAUAGAAGAGAGAAUGCUCCAAGUAAAAAACCCAGAGUGGAACUCUUCUUCACGAUUAUAACAGAGGUAGUGGUACCCUUCACCUUAAAAAAACACUUUUAAAUCUUUCCAUUGUUACCUACCGACUAUACACUAUAGUUGGCAGACAGCAUUUUAUCAAAAGAAAUGUUGUGACAAUUACCUGUUGAUUUUUUAUAUCCCCUAUAGUAAAGACUACUAUUUCACUGUUAUGGAGAUGUGAACUAUGACAAUGUAGUCAAUUUUACCUGCUUACCCAAGUAAUAUAUGCAAAUCAACUGACACUACAAUAUUAUUACAAUAAUAUUACUGACUUUAAAUGAGAUUACUGGUAUUCAUCCUGCAAUAAGCCCAUGGAGAAACACAUACUCUCAAACUCAAAGUAAAAGGAUGGGGUUACCGCAGGACAAACAAAAAAAUCUUUGAUUUGAAAUUCACAAGUUGUCCUAGGAAUAAUGGUGUUGAUAACUGAAUCUAGUUUUAAAUUUACAGGUUUAUAAAAAUUGAUGCAUUUGGUGGGUUUGCAUUUUAUUACCUGUACAUUGUUCAGUUAUCAGGUAAACCAGCUGAAAAUGAUAUCUUGGAUAGCUAUUACACACUAGGAAAUAUGGUUCCUUGCACAAUAAAACCAGUGCUUUGUA